RNA transcript from Columba livia (rock pigeon), 3186 nucleotides. It is a transcript of the gene named tubulin delta 1, with no coding region annotated. The record is from RefSeq and is a predicted model, not a curated record. The transcript has 11 exons. NCBI's taxonomy places the organism in Eukaryota, Metazoa, Chordata, Aves, Columbiformes, Columbidae.
UCGCGAGAAGCAUGCGCAUUGCGCUUUGUGAAGCCCGGACGGCUGACCCCUGCCCCCGGCCUGCCCGGAUCUCUUCUGAGCAUGCGCGAAGCGGGUUGUUCGAAGGCGCGUCUGGGUCCGAAGCGGCGGGGAAGGGGCACGCGGCGGCUGCGCGUGCGCGAUCGGCAGCACAGCGCCUCAGCGAGGGGCGUCGAGGCUUAAAGACAAGUCGAAUAAGGAUGUCAAUAGUCACAGUCCAGCUUGGCCAGUGUGGUAAUCAGAUUGGCCAGGAGGUGUUUAACGCCGUCUGCGCUGAUGUCCGUGGCACACAUGGGUUGUGUUCCAAGAAGGAGAAUGAAUCCUACCGUGAUGCUUGCAAGGAACGCUUUUUCAGGGAGGAGGAAUCUGAAGUGCCUGUUGCCCGAGCUGUGCUUGUUGACAUGGAACCCAAAGUGAUCAGCCAAACCUUAUCAAUAGCUGCCAGGUCUGGCUGCUGGAAAUACGAUGAUCGGUCGCACUUCUGUCAGAAGCAAGGGUCUGGGAACAACUGGGCAAACGGUUAUUCUGUUCACGGGCCUAGACACAAAGAAGCAAUAAUGAAUCUGGUACAAAAAGAAGCAGAGAAAUGUGAUCGUCUCGGUGGAUUUUUCACAAUAAUGAGCAUGGCUGGCGGUACAGGAUCUGGCUUGGGAGCAUUCGUGACCCGGUGUUUAAGAGAUGCUUUUCCAACCUCAUUUAUAUUAAACCAUGUUAUCUGGCCCUACGGCACUGGUGAGGUCAUCGUUCAAAACUACAACUCUGUUUUGACCCUGUCACAUCUGUACCAGUCGUCAGAUGCCCUUCUCGUUCAUGAAAAUGAUGUCAUCCACAAGAUCUGUGCUCAGCUGAUGAAUAUUAAACAGAUCUCCUUCAGGGAUGUGAAUCAAGUCAUUGCACAUCAGUUGGGGAGUGUUUUCCAGCCCAGUUACACAGCAGAAGGUGGCUCACGCUAUAGCAGAAACCCACUAGGAGACUUAAUGGAGACGUUAGUUCCACAUCCCGAAUUCAAGAUGUUGGGCCUUCGUAACAUACCACAGAUGCCUGAAAACUCGCUCGCUUAUAGCACGUUCAGUUGGCCUGGACUCCUCAAACAUUUAAGGCAGAUGCUCAUUGCUAAUGCUCAAAUGGAGGAAGGUAUUGACUGGCAAGUACGACCACCGCGUCCAGGCUUCUCCAUCCCCUCCAGUCAUCCCACAAACAAGCCGCUGCACUUCAAUACUUCCAUUGCCAACCUGGUUAUCCUACGAGGAAAAGAUACGCACAGCGUAGACUUAGGAAGUUUCCGAGAUCCCUCAUUAUACACAUCCUGGCUUAACCCUCAGGACGCUUUUAACGCGUGGAAAACACCAAGAGCGUUUAACAAGUAUGAAAAGUCUGCUUCUUUGGUCAGCAAUAGCCAGUUCCUGCUGAAACCUCUUGACAACAUUGUAGGAAAAGCUUGGAAUAUGUUUGCUUCCAAAGCCUAUAUUCACCAGUACACUAAAUUUGGAAUCGAAGAGGAAGACUUCCUGGACAGCUUCACAGCUCUGGAACAAGUUAUCUCCAGUUACACCCUCCUUUGAGUAUUUUUUAAAUGGCCUGACAUCGAGCUUUCCUGAAAGAACCCAGCGCUGGAAAACUUUCCAUCGCCUUCCCGAAGUACAUAAAUUACUGGACUGUAGCUGUUUUCCAGUCUUGUAACCAGUGUGUGCAUGUGUUAGAAUAGUAAGAACUGAAUCAGAACUGAACAUACUCAUAUGAGCAGACCAGGUACAGAAGCACUAAAAUCCCCCCUGGAGCACCUGUUCUCAAACCAGCUCCGGCACACGACACCUGGAAUUGCAAAUACACUUCUGGACAAGAUUCAAGUAACCACAGGAUUGAAUCUGAAGAAAAUAAGUCCAGUUUCUUUCAGAGACAGAAAAGAAAGGCUGAGCACACAAACCUUUUCAACAUCAGUCAAUGCCACCUUCCUGUGAAAAGGCUUUAGACCGCAGAAGUGCCAUGCAGAUCGGCUGCUAUCCACGUAAGGUAAAAGUGGGCUACAUACAGAUUGAUGUCAUAACUGUGGUCACAACCUCGUGAAAAACCAGGGUAAUGAACACUUCAGAGUAUUUAAUAGAAUUUGCUUACAUCUGAGAUAUCUUUGAGAUAAGUGCAAUACUCCAUAUAGGAAAAAGCAGCUGAAUGGCACUGCCAAGGCCACAAGGACAGCAGGGGAAGGCAGAAUGAGACCUGUGUGGCCUGCUCUGUCACAUUAGCAUUAAAAACCAACCAACCAACCAACCCCCAAACGCCUUAAAUCACGUGUAGUAAACACACAGCCCUUCCCUCGCAGGACCCCACAAGCAGCACCAGCACAGCAGUCACAGAGAAAAGACACGACUUAUGCUUUUUACAAGGACAGAACAGCGGUUUGUGAGGCUGGGGAGAGGGUGCGGCUCACGGGCAGUGAUCAGAACGGGAACAAUACCCUGAGCUGCCACAGCCCAUCUCUCACCUUUCAUCAGGAAGCAGCAGCCAGUUUCCUUAUUACCAGCUGCCUGGGCAACUCAAUUGAGCUUCUUGGGAAACUUAAGAACAAUUAAGCUGGGAGUAACUCCCCUGAAACUCAGAAGAUUCAGCACACUUACUUAUCUGUAUCUGAACAGCUCCUCAAAUGAGGUUUAAAGAACGAUGACCUUUGAUUUAAUGCUAAUGUGGUCAGUGGUCUUUGAAUCAUUCCAUGCAUGAAUAAUAACAAUAAAACGCUCCAGCACACUAAACAGCAGCGUUAAAGGCAAACUAAAACAAAGCUUGGCCCGUUCAACAGGCUCACAUGUUUUACCACAACUGAACAUCACCAGCAGGAAAUAGGCUCGAUGACUGCACAGCUCAACAGCCUCUUCACUUUAAAUUCACCAGAGAAUAAUAGUUGGCUUUUUUGACCAAAAUACCAUUUUGCUGAGUUCCUGCCACACGCCAGUUGCUGGGCUCUUGUCGCUUGUACCUGGAAGGUGAUACAGCCAGACGCCUUUUGGACGUGUGAUGACAAUUUCUGUGCUUGAGCUCCUUUCACUCUUUUGACAAGUGACCCAGGUUGUUUCAGCCUCUGCCAUUCACACCACUACCAAACCAAACUGUUCCGCUGCCUUUUAUGAAAGCUGAGUGGAUGCAUCAAUAAACAAGUGAAACAGAUAAAGAAAUAAA